AACUUUCAACAACGGAUCUCUUGGCUCUCGCAUCGAUGAAGAACGCAGCGAAAUGCGAUAAGUAAUGUGAAUUGCAGAAUUCAGUGAAUCAUCGAAUCUUUGAACGCACCUUGCGCCCUUUGGUAUUCCGAGGGGCAUGCCUGUUUGAGUGUCU
This 154-nucleotide ribosomal RNA is filed under the name Subulicystidium acerosum. RNAcentral describes it as "5.8S ribosomal RNA". It matches the Rfam family "5.8S ribosomal RNA". From Rfam's summary of the family: 5.8S ribosomal RNA (5.8S rRNA) is a component of the large subunit of the eukaryotic ribosome. It is transcribed by RNA polymerase I as part of the 45S precursor that also contains 18S and 28S rRNA. Functionally, it is thought that 5.8S rRNA may be involved in ribosome translocation. Lineage: Eukaryota; Fungi; Basidiomycota; Agaricomycetes; Trechisporales; Hydnodontaceae. The record is from RNAcentral.